Ciona intestinalis (vase tunicate) is the source of this 6344-nucleotide non-coding RNA. NCBI's taxonomy places the organism in Eukaryota, Metazoa, Chordata, Ascidiacea, Phlebobranchia, Cionidae. The record is from RefSeq and is a predicted model, not a curated record.
CCGUUUUUAAUUAAUUUGUCCGUUAAAAUUAAACGUAUGGCUCCGCAGAUGUAGGUGUUUAUACAAGAUGUUAUAUAUACUGCUAGUAGUUUUGACAGCUUUAGCUGUACAGAACGUUCGCUGUGAUUCUUACAAAUGGAAAUUUACAUUGAUGGAAGUAACGAAUUCUACACUAGCUAAAAUCGACGUUUUAGAUGGAAGAAAUGUAUUGAAAAUUGCAUCCUAUACCCCGCCAUUACAACCACAGAACAUUAAGCACGAUUUGCAGCAGAUUUUUGAAAAAAGUUCCCAUGUUGUAAAAAUUGACGUGGUUAACAGCCAAGACGAGAUUUCUUACACUGUUAUGCACCACCUGCAAUCAAAUGCUAUACCUCCUUAUUUAUUUGCUGAUUAUAUAUCCCAUGGUCACUCAUAUGAUGGUGGAAACGCUCAGUAUAAAAUCGCACCAACUGUUGUUUUCUCUGAUACAGGUACAGAAACAAGUGAAACAGAUAUAUCAUGGCUCUAUCCGUUACCACUCACUGAGUAUUCAUCGCAACUUAUAUUAUCGGCACCAGAACCACAUACUGAAGGAUUCACUAUUUCACCAUUAAGAAAAUCUUAUCAUAUUCUCCACCAUGAACACCUGGAAGCACAUAACACUGGGAUAAAUGCGGAUGAAACCGAAACAAUCAAUUUAUUUCAACAAGUCUCAACAGUCGCUGUUAAAAACUCUGUUUUUGCUUUUUCUGGUAAUGAAUUUGAAAAUUCUCAUUUAAAAAAGAUCCCCCUAUCCCCCAGUGACAUUGUAUGCACCAGCAGUGUUGAAACAGUUAUUGUUCUUAACAAACAUAUCUACUACUUCUCAAAGCAUGGAGUGCAUCAACUACCGAACUAUGGAUAUGGUUCAGUAAUAAGCAGAGUGAAGGUUGAAACUGAUGAAAUACUUUGUGCUCAACAUGUUAGUACAUCAACCGAUGGUUUCCAAGCCAAUACCAUUCUAGUCAGCUCAGCAAAUCAGAUGUUUAUGUUGGAAAUGAAGGAUUCUCAUGAACAAGAAAGUUCUUUGCCCGGUUUUGUCGUCAUGAAAGAUGGGAAUGGGAAAGACAUUUUUAAUUUUCUCAACCGAAGUCCAGAGAAUUGCACAAUUGUUAGUCAUAUAGUUGGGAACCAGAAAUGCUGUGUGAUGUUUUUUCUCUUGUUUGACUCUAGUACUGAGGAAUAUAUCAUUGCAAGAUAUGCAGUUGAGGAAAUGCAUGAAGAAUUGGCGGAAUGGAGAUUUGAAACUAAGUUUUCCAACCAGCUACCAGCAGAAUUGGAUGGGAACUACGGGUUUGUAUUUCUGGUUCAAUCUGAAGAUCACGCUGAUGAAGAUGAAGACCAUGGUGAUGAAGACGAUGAUCACGAGGAUGAAGACGAUGAUCACGCUGAUGAGGAUGAUGAUCACGCUGAUGAGGAUGAUGAUCACGCUGAUGAAGACGAAGAUCACGCUGAUGAGGAUAAUGAUCACGCUGAUGAAGGCGAAGAUCACGCUGAUGAAGGCGAAGAUCACGCUGAUGAAGACGAAGAUCACGCUGAUGAAGACGAUGAUCACGCCGAUGAGGAUGAUGAUCACACUAAUGAAGAUGAAGACGAUGAUCACGCUGAUGAAGACGAUGAUCACGCUGAUGAAGACGAUGAUCACGCUGAUGAAGACGAUGAUCAUGGUGAUGAAGACGAUGUUCAUGGUGAUGAAGACGAUGAUCACGCUGAGGAAGAAUCAGGUCAUGGUCAUGGUCAUGAGGAAUCCGAGGGCAAGGCUUCUGGCCAUAAAAGAGAAUUUGUCUUGAAGGGUUUGAGUGAUAUUUUUACAUCCGAUGGUUCAUUGUAUUUAUGGGGUGAUGUGGUGCUUGCUUAUGACUUGAGAACCACGUUACUUGCCCUCAUACCAGCUGGGCGUUCUUAUACCUCACUCGGCAAUGUUCAGUUUACCUCAACUAAAUUUGGAGCAUUCUCUGUGCUGACAUCUAAUGGUGACAUAUGGCAAGCUGUUACGGGAGCUUUCUAUCGUGAAAUGGCGAUGAAGAAAAAUCCAAACAAUGCCACAUUAUUAGCUGGAGGAAACUUUUCAAAUAUUCUUGGUUUGUUUUACGACUCCUUUAACGACCUUUAUUUGCUGGCAAUUGUGGAUUCGAAAAUUGAAAGAAUUUUUGUCUCACCAAUAAAUUCAUCUGUGCAUGAAGAUGUUAUCCUUAUUAUGGAAUGUCCAAGACUUGUUGGGCGUGAACGUAAACAAGUGUUUUAUCUUAACCCACCAACAAAUGCAUUCAUGGAAAGCUUUGAUGGUCAGCUACCUUCUGCUGUUUAUACAAGCUCUUUCAACAGCACGAAACAUAUUUCAAGUUAUAUUACUCUUGCAAAUCUAGUUCAUAUUAAACAGAACAUUGGCAAGCAGCUGUGGUGGAACAAGAUUCGAGAUUGGAAUUUUGACGAAACUGGUUUUGAUGACUAUGUUCGCUAUCUUAGUAUAAACAGCAUUGAAUUUCUGAAGAACCAUCAAGCAUAUUCACUUAAUGUGUUGGAUAUAAUACGCCAUGAUCACACUGAGCACGUGAUAGACUGCAGUAUUCCAGAUACAAUUUAUUUUGACAAAGGAGAUCAGAUUAGACUCAGCAUCACUUUAACACAUGGUGGACCCCAUGUUGUCCUGCCAUCUGUAUCUGACCUUCUACUUUUCGCAAGUGUAUCGGAAAACAACGCUGUUCAUAUUUCCAUCACUCGUGAAGCAAAACCUACACAUGCUGUUUUCCAAGUGGUGGUCACUGGCUUGCAACUGGAACAGCAUUCUCCUGGUGUGCAUUUACAACUUGCAACAAUAUUUAUAUGGCCGUGGUAUCCACAGAAGACUGCUGAAAGUAGAGGUGUCCACCUCCAUGUCAAGGUUGGCUGCCCCCCUGGUAUGUCACUGGAGUUUGACAGCAAGCGAUCGAUUGAGAUUCUCGCUUCUAGGGGAAGGACAGAUAACUUUGAAUGUCCGAGUGGUGUGGAAGAUGGGAUACCUUGCUUCACUACAUCAGAGUUUGUCACAGCUUUUUACAUGAAGGAUCAUGUUUAUGGAAAACGGUUUCCUUUUGUUGGUAAUUACACACUGCGAGUGGUAGGUGGGGGUGUGGGGUAUCUGGAAAAUGUUCGCAACUAUACACAAGAGGAAAUUGCUCAGUACAACUACAGGCCAGGUAAUAGAGAUCACCCCGAUUGUCGAAUUUGGAGUGCAAUUACUCCUGGUGGUAUGCAGGACAAUGAAACCGGGGAGCUUAUAUUCAACAGCAUGAACCCACCAAGUAUUGUGUUUGAAUGUAGACUUCUAUCUCCUUGUGGGAGCAUUCCAUUCGGACAGGCAAACCCUUCUGGGUUUUAUCUUGUGAUUGAAACAUCCACCAGAGGUGUAGACACAUCAAGUAAUUGUGACUUCACAAUGAGGUUUGUAAUUCAUUUGAUUGGCAUCGAACUCAAUGCAAAGUCGCAUCUCUAUAUUAUGAUUACAACAUUUGCCAUAAUCUCUACUUUUAUAAUCCUUUUCUACCAAUUCACUGAUGGUAGUGGAAGAAUUUUGUUGGAUAAACUUUUAUCGAAGAGAGGAAAAUCUGUUCUAAAUCUCUCUUCACAUAAUGUGUUUCGGAAAGUUUAUGAGAAAAAUGCUCACAGUUCAACAAUUGCUGCUCAGUAUCAACACCGGGGGAGUGUUGGGGGAUCCCUGCUUGGUCAGACUGUUCAAGACAGAAGUCGCAGCAUUGCGCUCGUGUCUGGUAUAUUUUAUAUGAUAGCAGUCUUAGAAUAUUUAGACAUAUUGCCGGUAUUUAGUAAAGUUAGCAUAGUAGUCGUUGGUAACCUUUGUAGUGCUGAUGUUGUAUGUAGAGACCGGUAGUUUGGAAGACAGUUAGCAUAGUAUAUGUUGCUGUUGUAGAAACAUAUGAUAAAACUUUGGAAAAGUUAUGUUAGAAUUUUUUUGUUAGAAAUUUUUAUAGACCAUGAGCUAUUUCUGAACAAAGAAUAUAUUGUUAGAUCUUCGUAGAAAGUCAGUGAGCCAAAACAGAAUACCCGAUAUAAUGUUGACAUCAAAUGCAGAUGUUACAAGUCGACUUGUCCUACAUGGUAAAUCAAAACACUGAUGACACCACGUUUAUAAAAGAAGCAGAAUUAUAUGAUUUCACUUUGUACUCUUAAAAUAAAAACACUUUGUUAAAGGAAGAAGUCUUAUUGAGUCAAACUUCUACUUACUAUUUAAACCUAUCAUAGUAGACAUGUGUGUAUAAAAGAUACUCACUGCAUGAUUGCUUUAAUCGAGUGCUCAAUAAUGGGUUGACGAAGUUCUACUUUUGUUAAAUCCUAAGCGGGCACGAGGUGUAUGAAACUGAGCACCCCUGUUUUAACGACUGUUGUUGCUAUGCCUCGCGAGGAUAAAUAAGUGACAUUUAUUCAUAUCUUCGGUAUGGUAUAGGGUGUACGGUGUAGUUAGGAAACUUCAUUUCGGAAAAAUGAACUUUUGUAUACGUUUCGAACCGCAGAUGACACAAACAUAUGAUGUCGGCUUCAAAGUAAUAUAAAAUGUUUGACAAACAAGCUACCGUUUGGUGAGUUCAGCCACCGUUUAUAGGAGUAGAAUAUAUUUAGCGGCAAAGUCUAUAACACGCAACCAGAAGAGUCAAUAUCAACGACUGACCGUCGGAGUUAAACAACACCAGUUGCUAACGCUAGCGGUCAACGACUGGAAAAUAAAGGACAUUUCGACCUCAACGUCAUAACAAGGACUUUUGCACCGCCGCAGGCAUAUAGGCGUAUUUUGGUCAGCGUGAAGUAGUAACAGGAUAUCGAUAUACCGGUUAUGUGCGUAGCUUCGAUUUUUAAGUAGCAGGCCUAGAAUACAAUGAGUCGUCCAGAAUCAAAACCGCAAUUUGUAUAACACAGACGCUGAUUUAUGUGCAUGGGAAAGCAAUAUGUGCAGCAAGCUAUUAGAUCUGCGACUUAAAUAAAUAAUGAUAGAGAAAUACAGGAAAUGCCAGUUUCCCCAACUCUAUAGAGGAUAUCACUUGAGUGUUUGAUCGAGCUGUACAACAAAGUUUGCAAUUCCAUACACGUCCUGUCUCAUCGUGUAUGUGUGUUUUUAUAGAUAGCCACCAGGCGUGUGGAUGUUUUAUACCUAAAUAAAGUCCGAGAUCUUAGUACAGUUUAAUCGCAGGCAGUUUUGAAAACCUAACGUUAUAUAUUUAUUGCAAGUUGAUAACUUACCUGCUGGCAAGAUUCAACUGGUCCUAUGGACAUUUUUUGUCUCAUAUUUCUAAUAUACCUAUACCAUAGAGGUAAUAUGACGCAAUAUUGUUUAUACUUCGUUCUAGUUGACAUACAGACUGACCCAUUUGUGUUGUUAUGAAACCGGCAGCAUAUAUGUAUACGGAGUUAUAUAUGGUUGAGGACAGCUAACAACUUUUUAAGUGUACUUCAGUCUAAUUUACUGUAUCUGACGUUCGCUGUAUCAAGAGUUAGAUAAGUUUGCUAUACACUAGUGAGCAGUAUUUACGUUCCACACCAUAUGGAACAGGUUCUUUUAAAUUGGGAAGUAUAGUGCGAUCGCGUUACAUAUGCUGCUAAAGGUGUCUCGUCUCCCCCCACCUUACUAUAUAACGCUGUUAGGCUGAUCUCUCGUUUUACUGGAAAUCUCAAAAGCAGUGCUACAUAAUACUGAAAGUAUAGCCUAUGCUUGUAUUGUUAUCACAGCUGGUAUAUUACAAGUUUUAUCGCAAAAAGUUGUUCGAAUGAACCUUUUUUCACUCAUUUUCGUAUAGAUUCUUAACAACAUUCUUUGCAAAGUCUGUAUGUUGUCUUACAGAGAUUUGUUAACAUUAUGGAGCCGCCCACAUAUACAGUAAGGAAUAUGGCAGCAGACACAACAACAACUUACUGCAAUGCUAACUCGUUUGCCGGCAACAGCUAUGGGCCGAUGACUUUGUUGUCUAGUGAUCAGGAAGUGUUACAUGCUGUAAGCGGAGGACUUGGACUUGAAGCGCCGGCCAUACAGCCUUUUGAAUGGAACAUAAUUAACAACGCUCGAGUAAUGAACCCGGCAUAUGGUUUCUACUAUAAUCAUGAUGUGUUGUGUUCUUACCCGGUGUAUGUUUUACCGCCUGGCUACUUAUACAAUAACUUGAUAGCACAAAAUAUACAGCUGGCCCAAGACGUAUCUUUACCAUCACGAGACGCAAUAGCUUUAAUAUCUCAUCCCCGCGUUACUACAGCACCCAGCACGCCGCUAUUGUUACCAGAAACCCAAUUCGAUGGUCUGCCCGUUCAGCAACCUGUCAAUCAGUCCCUGCAUACAUCCGAUACAUUAU